CCGGCACUCAUGACGGUCUGCCUAAAAACCAGUCCGCUGGUGGGGCAGUCCUGAGGACCUGCGUG
Non-coding RNA from Mus musculus (house mouse), 65 nucleotides. The record is from Rfam. Lineage: Eukaryota; Metazoa; Chordata; Mammalia; Rodentia; Muridae.